RNAcentral lists this long non-coding RNA (8922 nucleotides) under Musa acuminata (dwarf banana). RNAcentral's name for it is "long non-coding RNA (MACU_LNC004843)". Lineage: Eukaryota; Viridiplantae; Streptophyta; Magnoliopsida; Zingiberales; Musaceae. The record is from RNAcentral.
UCCCAUCCCACCCUCCUUCCCUAUAUAACAUGAACGAGGCCUUCGCCAAUCGUCACAGGCAAUCCACCAUGGCCUCCCGUAACCUCUCCUCCCUCCUCCUCGUCGUCCUCCUCGUCUUCGCCGGCUAUGCCGGUUCCCACGCCGGCAGCAUCGCCGUGUACUGGGGCCAGAACGGCAACGAGGGCGGCCUUGCCGACACCUGCAACACCGGCAUCUACUCGUACGUGAUGCUGGCUUUCCUCACCACCUUCGGCAACGGGCAAACCCCCGUCCUCAACCUGGCGGGCCACUGCGACCCCCCCUCCGGCACCUGCACCGGCCUCAGCUCCGACAUCCGCGCCUGCCAGUCCCAGGGCAUCAAGGUGCUCCUCUCCCUCGGUGGCGACUCCAGCAGCUACUCCCUGUCCUCCUCCGACGACGCCGCGAGCGUGGCGACGUAUCUGUGGGCCAACUACCUCGGCGGCUCGUCCAGUUCGCGCCCGCUGGGUGACGCCGUCCUCGACGGCAUCGACUUCGACAUCCAGCAUGGCGGCCCCGACCACUACAACGAGCUGGCGAAGCAGCUCUCCGACUUGGGCGGCCAGGCUGGGACCAAGGUGUACCUCUCGGCGGCGCCGCAGUGCCCCUACCCGGACCAGUCCUUGGGGAACGCGCUGCAGACGGGGCUCUUCGACUACGUGUGGGUGCAGUUCUACAACAACCCCAGCUGCGACUACUCGUCGGGGGUCAGCGGCCUGAGCAGCGCAUGGGGGACGUGGACGUCGAGCUUGUCGUCAUCGACCGUCUUCCUGGGGCUGCCGGCCUCGCAGGACGCGGCCGGGAGCGGGUACAUCCCGCCCGACGUCCUCACCUCCCAGGUGCUGCCGGCGAUCAAGACUGCGUCCAACUACGGCGGCAUCAUGCUGUGGAGCAGAUACUACGAUCUCAACAGCGGGUACAGCGCUGCCGUGAGGAACAGUGUUUGAGAUGGCGAUGUACUCACUACCAUAUGUGUGCUUCCGAUUACGAGGUCAUGAAUAAGGCGGGACAGUGAUAGAAAGGUGUUCCAGAUUGAUGUGACGAUGCGUCCCAAUAAAAUAAAGAUUGCGUGUUUUUAUGGAGGCAUUGAGGUGGUCAGAGUAAUAAAUAAUACAUAAGUGAUAUAUCUUAAAUUUAAAUUUAGAUGUGAGCAUCAUAUUUGAGUACACGAGUAUCAUGUCCGUUAUUUAUAGUACUAUUUUUUUUUAUUUUAUAAAAAUAAAAAAAUAUAUAAAGUAUGCUUGACACGUGAAAUAAUUAAAAUAAACCCAUAGACGGACCAAGAAAGGUGGUGUAUCGAUGACAAUUGAUGCAAAUAACAAAUUCAGCAAAUAUUCAUGAAUUGAUGAUGGCUUCGUUAAUUAAGAGACAAGUUUGCAUAUUAUAAACAAGCUGGUUUUUCUCGUUUCUAAUAAAAACAUUCUAUAGGCUGAUCGCAUUGAAAUAAACUUUAUCUUAUAAACAAUGGAAUUAUAUUUUUAAUUAUUUGUUCUGUAAGCUCUUCUUCAUAUAUUCGUUUCUUUGAUCAUGCAAGACGUAGUUUGGUCGGAGAUGACGUACUUUGUCCGCAAAGAAGAAACUCGAGGAUGUGUAGGCCUUCCUUCACCUUUAAAAAAAUGUUCUCGACAUAAUAAAAAUACUUCUAUUUUUAAUAAAGCAUUUUAUACGAGAAAGCUUUCACUAUUAGACUUUUAUUAAAUAGAAAUGAUGCUUCUCUAAUUGGUUUUUACACGAGACAUCCUUUGCCUCUAUCUCUUUGCCUUCGGUCAUUGAAUAUGACCUUUCUAACCAACAUGGAAUGUUGUCUAAUCAUAAUUCCUCAUGCGUUUCUUCCGAAUGGGCCAUAUGCCCCUAAUUUUUGAAUCGAUGUUCAUGUUGGGUUAGGGUCCGAAUAAAUUGAGGUUUACCCAACAAAAUAAUGACUCGUCUAAGUUUGGUCUGUUGCCGUGAAUGUUUCAUGCGACGAAUCAAUUGCAGUGGAUUUGCUUGAAGCUCACCAUAUAUGUUCUUGCUGUCAACCCAGUGCGACGCUCAUUAAUCCUAUAUUAUAGGAGUGAGAAUUAUAUUAUUCCCGGGGAGAUUAUCAUUACCAACGAUAUUGUUGUUUGCUGAGUGUUACAGUUUGAUCUUGUUUUUGAAGACGUAAGGUCAUUUGAGGAUCCCUCGUGGCUGUCUGUCUGGCGAGGGAGCUAGUGUGGCACCGAAGAAUCUGAGAUAGUUUCUAAGGAUUCGAGAUGGACUUCGAUCUUCCCAGGUUCCUGCACAAAGGUUAGUGUCGGGCGGAGUUUCCCGACCUGACUUCUCCGAUGUUCAAAUUAGUUUUGUGGAGUUGUGUGAGGUAUAAAGGGUUUUUGUGAAAAGAGGUCCGACCCUUGGGCAAGCGUCGGGGGUUGGCUUUUAUACCUGGGCGAUCAAGGAGAUCGUUUGUUAAUAUUAUAAUGCCCUCCGCAUAGCAUUUUGUCCAUGUGAAUGAGAGGCCCGAGCGAUCCUCUACAGGUUAUCGUCUACAAAGGCCAACUGAGUGGGGAUAUAUCAGAAGGAUCACCCGGAGACCACUAUUCUUGGUGAUCGACAAAAUUAAUCGGAACGAUCUCCCGUGAACUAUUAUCUAUGAGGGCCGCCAAGUGCCCCACGAUGCUAUCGAGUUGGGAGGUGAUUUACCCUUACCUUCCAUGUCGACAUCUCGGUGGCGAUCAACUAUAAAGCUAGUUUUGUCAAAAUAUUUCCUAUUAGAUAUAUGAACCUGAUGUAAGAUGGGAACCUUUAACUCUAUCGAUAUUUCAUUAUCAUGAACUUACCUUAAUUUAUCUAAACCGUAUAUCACAUUCAUGCAAAGAGUUAAUCUUUCAAUGUGAAAAAAUAGAUAGUGACAUGUGAAUGCACUAUAAUAGUGACUUGGCUUAAAGCAUAAACUAAGAUUGCACUAGCAUCAUCGAAUAAAAUAAUUUAGUGGCAUGCUUUCACUUAUGCUCGAUAGCUUCUUGUUUUCUUUACUAGAACAAAAAUACAUUGCUUUAAAAGUAGCUUCAAGUAGGAAUUGAACUGCUUUAGUAGCUUCAUGUUCGAUCUUAUACAAUGUAUAGACUUGGAGAAAGAAAAACGAGGAUGAUGCAAGCCAAAAUUAACGAACUUUAAAUGAAUAGUCUAAGACAUGAGAGAAUAAAUGAGUUAGAGACCGGCGAAGCACCAUUAAGUGAUGAGAUAAAAAGAGAAUUUUGUAUACGAACAAAUAAAUCAUAACACGUAGCAGAAUUAAAUGAAAAUCAUAGUCAAAUAUAAUAUCAAAAUUUACGUAAAAAAUCUCUCCAACACGAAGGGUAAAAACCAUAGGGUAAGCAAGAGAAAAUCUACUAUAAAAAUAAUGAAUAUACAAAUCUCAGAGUCUUUUGCCCAAAACCCAAGCAACAAUCACAAGAGAAUAACUAUGAUAUAAGGAUUACGUCAUUGUGCAUAAUAUCUAAAAUCUCCUCAAGUGAUCACAACAAGAAUCUACAAUAAAUCUGAUCUAAUAUGAUAUUAUAAUACUUCUUGGAUGAUUGAGAAUAGUCUCUAUAUUGUCCUUGUCUUCUUUCCUUUCCUUCUUCUCUUGUUUUUCUUUCCUCAACUAUCACUGCUGCUUCUCUCUUUUUUACAACCAUCGCUGCCCUCUUUUUUUGCCCUAGAAACCAUACUUCUUGGUUAAAAGAGAAAAGAGUUAAGAUUAAAGUGGGCUGUGAAUAAUUAAAGCCUACUAUGAGUUGAAUAAUGAGUCAUUUGCCCAACAAUCUUCCUCUUCAGCCCAUAAGGGAGGUUGUCUCAUGACUCCUCAAUGUGAAAUCAUACCGACAAACUAUUGGUAAUCUUUUGCCUUUAUUUUGGUAAGGUCUUUAUCAACAUAUUUGCUCUAUUACCAUCUGUAUGAAUUUUCUAAAGUUGUAACUGCUUCUCUUCAAGUAUAUUUCGAAUCCAAUGGUAUCUGACAUCUAUAUGCUUUGACUUGGAUUGAAAAGUUGUGUUCUUACACAAAUAGAUGACGCUAUGACUUUCACAAUACACUACAUAGUUUUUUUUUUUUCGGUCAUAAUUUUUGUAAGAAUUUUUUUAUCCAUAAUAUUUCUUUGCAAACCUCUAUAGUAGUAAUAUAUUCUGCCUCUAUGGCGGAGAGAGCAAUAUACCUUUGCAAUCUGGAUUGCCACGACACAACUCCCCUUGUAAAAGUAAGUACAAAACCUAAUGUAUACUUCAUUGUAUCAAUAUCUAUUGUCGUAUCUGCAUCUGUGUAACCUGUCAAUAUAGAUGGUCCACCUCCAAAGCUUAAAAAAAAUAAUGACUCAUCUAAGUCUGGAUUGUUGCCAUGAAUGUAUCAUGCAACAAAUCAAUUGCAUUAGGUUUGCUCGAAGCCCACCAUAUAUGUUGCUUGAUGUUAGCCCAGUGCAACACUCAUUCAUCCUAAAUUAUAGGUGUGAGAAUUAUAUUAUUCCUCAUGAGAUUGUCAUUAUCAAUUAUAUUGUUGUUGCCUGAGUGUUGUCAAUUGAUAGUCGGUAUGAUUUGGUCUCAUUCUAAAGUUGCAAGGUCAUCCGAGGAUCCCUCGUGGUUGUCUAGCGAGGUGGUUGGUGUGGUGUCGAUGAAUCUAAGGUAGUUUCUGAGGAUCUAGGAUAGACUUUGGUUUUCUUAGUGGGUUUAUGCACAAAGGUUAAUAUCGGGGGGAGUUUCCCGACCCGACUCGAUCUCUCUGAUGUUCAAAUUAGCUUUGUGAAGUUGCGUGGGGUAUAAAGGAUUUUCUUAAAGAGAAGUCCGACCCUUGGACAGCCAUCAGGGGUUGACUUUUAAACCUAGGCGAUCGAGGGGAUCGUUUGUAACUGUUGUAAUGCCCUCCACAUAGCAUUUUGUCCAUGUGAGCGAUAGGCUCGAAUGACCUUUUGCGGGUUGUCGUCCACAAAGGCCGAUUGAGUGGGACAUACCUGAAGGAUCACCCGGGGAUCACCAUCUUUAGUGACCGACAUGAUUUUCCCAAACGACCUCCCGUAUACUAUUGUCCAUAGGAGUUGAUAGGUGCCCCACGAUGGGGUGACAAACCUGACGAUGGAGGCUUGAAUAGCUUGGAGGAUGAGAUGAUCUUGGGGUAAUCAUAGUUUAUGGGCUGGAUUUAGUACUAGACUAGGGUCUUCUAGGAUAUUGAUAAUUGUGAUGGACAAUGAAGAGAGCUAUUGACACAGUCUCGUAGAUCGUAUCCAAAUAGGAGAUUAGAAAAUUAUGCACGUCAAGAUGUGUAGUUGUCAUCUUUAGAUAAUUUAAAAGGGAUGAGUGUUACUUGAUGGUGAUAAGACAUAUGUUGAGAAGUGAUAUAUUCCCUGAGGGGAUAAUAACUAGAGCGUUAGAGGUAGAUGAUAAAGAUAUUUUGAGGAUAGGUAUAUGAGAGAGUAAGGGAGUUGUCAGCUGUAGAAGGAGAGUGGAAGAUGGCUCCAAUGAGGAUCGUAGUGAUUGCUGCAGCAGGUUGAGGUAUCUUCUUCUUCGCCCCUCUAGGAGGUCUCAGAUCCUUAGACAGAGAUAUUUAUCGAAGGAGGCAUUUGGGCGAGCAGAUCUUAAUGGGCUGAAGGUGCGGCCUGGAGGAGCAGUUCUAAUGGCGAAAGGAGAAGUUGAAGGAAGUUUGUUUCUGGAGCGAUUGGGUCUCGAUCGAGGAAAUCUCGCUGAUCAGUUGAGGGAAUUCCUUUCUUCUAACAUGUAUAAAUAGACAUUGUAUUCAACUAAUUGAAGAGUGCUUUGUCAUUACAUUUCAUUUUCUCAUGCUAUCAGAGUUGUAGUGAGCGAACGCUAGCGCAGAGCGACAGAGGGAGAAGAUAGACAGUCGUUGUUCGUUUAGGAGGAAAUCAGUGAUCUGAUCAACAAUCACUAAAGGUGGCAGCACCUGCGCUUCCUUUGGGAGCAUCGUCCGUGGUGAAGAGAGAAGAAAUAGGGAUGCUACACUAAAGGGAAGGGAUCGCCUUGCGCACGAACGCAGAUCAUCAGUCGUCGGUCGCCUUGCACUUGCUUGGGAGGUGGAGACCUUUGACAGGAGAUGUGGCACUUGCGUUUGGAGUAGCAGAGGCAACAACAAGAGCAGAUUCUCGAGUAAGUGACGCAAGCUUCCAUGAUCUUGAUGUCGGUGUAGCAAGAGGAGGCACUCCUCGUGCGCAGCUUGCAAUCUACAAGGUGUGCUGGGGUGCGCGGCUAGCAAUCUACAAGGUGUGCUGGGAUGUCAGGUUUGAGGAUGCUUGGAGUGGCAAAAUUUUGUCCUCUCGAUGAGAAGUAUGCAACAGAAGGCACCGGUGAGCAGCUGAACCGGUGCCGGGUGGUGGGCUCGAAAGGUGCGGGCGUUGGCUUUGCGCUUGCCACCGUUCUCCUCAAAGGCUACACGGAGGCGACCAAUGAGGGCGUCAGGGAGAGCUUUUCUGCCGGAUGAAGAGCCUUGAGGGAGGAAGAAGUGGCAGUAUAAGUUGCCUCAUCUAGACGACCAAGACACACAAUGGAAGCCACCUCGUCUAGGCGACCGGGACCGAUGAUUCGUUGAUGGAGAGGAAGGUAUAGUAGCAGACAAGGUGGAUACGGAGGAUCUCGUUGAUCUACUCCUCAUUGGCCUCGCAAGCAUGAUGUUGUCAUGCUAGUGGCGAUACUGAUAGAAGGUGAGUUAGCUAUCGCUGAACAUCGAGGAAGAGAAGAGAAAUCUUGCUAUAACGCAAGGGCUCUGAUACUGAUAAAAUGAAAUGUAAUGAUAAAGUACACUUCAAUUAGUUGAAUACAAUAUCUAUUUAUACAUGUAAGAAGAGAGGAUUUAUCUGAUCAGUAAAAUUUUCUCGUAUAGUUGAAGAAAUCUUAUCUGUUAUGAGGAUCUUCUAAUAUGUAUAGACUUUAGACGAUGAGAUGAUCUUCUAAUAGAAAGAAAAAUGAGGAUGAUGUGAACUUUAUAUGAAUAGAAUAAGACAUGGAAGAAUAAAUGGGAUGGAGAUUGACGAAAUCUUCACUUGGAUUACCAUCUUAUUCUAAAGACUUGAGCUGGAGGAAAAGGGUCCCAAACCUAACGACACAAUGUCGAUGCCUAUACGUAUUCUCCUCCGUAGAUCAUGACCCACUACCAACUCUUGACCGUGUUGUUCUUGACGAGGACUAGUCAUCAACGAAGCUCCGAGGUCACCCUAAUAUUUUAAGAAGGUUCAGAUGACCUGGGAGACUUCCAUCUCUCUCUGUUUGUGUUGGAAUUCUAAUGUAAACCCUUAUGCCAGGAUUAAUACUUAUAAUAAACCUUACACGAAGUUGGCUCUUUCCUAAUCGCUUAAGGUUUUGAGACUAACUGUAUCUCAAUCAAAAUUCGUAUCGUGAUAUUAAAAUAUAUUCGAGUGUGAAAUUUACAGUCAUAGAGCAAAGAUGAUGAUCCUCGUGAGUUUCUUUGGUCUUAGCUUAGUGGCGAGGAGUCACAAUCGAUUAGGAAAUCCGCUAAGCUGGCGCCGGCCAUUAAUUGACUCAUCGAUGGUGCGUCGACUAUGGAGAAAGACUAACAAGUUCGUGGUCGUUCCCAUGACGCAGCGGAAACCGUGUGCAAGCAGGGUUGAAGAAGGCGAACACGUCUUUCUUCCCCCAUUAAUUUCGCUCACCGCAUGUUGCAAGCCAAAGCUCAAAGGGCUUUACAUGAACAGAGUAUGGCAUUGAAGAAUUAAAGGUGUGGCGAUUAAUAUACUCCAUUAACCUUUUUGUGCUAACUUAGGUUCUGAUGGUGUGACAUGUGAGUAAGGUUCGGAGCCAAUCAAUGUUUACUUUUGACUCCGUCUCAGUCCGAGAUGUUGGGUAGCUGUUAAAGUCAGAUUUGUCGAGUCGAUUGCCUCGGCUAGUCGCUGGUGCAUCGUUUGACUAUGAACACCAACGUCAGCAUUUUCGCCUCCGUCGUUGUCCUUGUCCCACCGCCACCUCUAGGCUGAGUUGUUCCUUGCGAAGACUCGGUCGCAGGACCUUCUCGUAGUUCCCACCGGGGAGACUGACUUCACUUCCAUCCUUCUCUACGUGUUGGAAUUAUACAUCGGAUGCUCAUGCUUCAUUGCGAGGAUGAAUACUGACAAACCGAACACAUCGGCUGCGGUUGUUUAGGAUGAUGACGACCCAUUCAUUCCCAGCAGCCUCAUCUGCACGAGACUUCCUCGGAGUUUCCCUUCUGCAUUACGUCAAUGAAUUCAGUCUCAAAAUCAGUUCAAGAGUACCGGCAUACGCAUUAGAUAGAUCGAAUAGAGUCGGAUGCCCGAAAAGAAUCGAUCUACCGCCAUCCUUAUCUCUGUCCUUGACGAUGUUUGCACAGAGACGACUCGAUCCCUCACAAGUCGACUGUCUCAGUUGGUCGCUGGUGCAUCGACCAUAGAGGAAGACCAAAUAAAUGAAGGCGUGAAUGAGGCGGUGGCAACCGUACGCGAAGCAGACUCGAAGAAGUCUGCUCGCGGCGGAGCGCGCCACAGAAAUAUAAUAGAUUGUAAGAUUUUAUAUACUUCGAGGAUACGUUUCUUCUCAUGCUUAACCUCAAAGAAAGCUGGAAAUCACUUAAGCACAUGAGUUACAAAAAAACACUACAGCAAUACAAAUAAAUUAUACGAUGCAAAGAUGAUGAGUAGAUGAGCGCCUCUUCUAAGAGUCAUCCAACAGUUAGUCAAAGUCUUCAUGUCUUCAUCCCAAAGCGCAGCCUCCCCCUGUCAUCUCCUCUUCUCUGGUGCAGGUCCCAUCCCACCCUCCUUCCCUAUAUAACAUGAACGAGGCCUUCGCCAAUCGUCACAGGCAAUUCACCAUGGCCUCCCGUAACCUCUCCUCCCUCCUCCUCGUCGCCCUCCUCGUCUUCGCCUUCUCUGCCGGCUCCCACGCCGGCAGCAUCGCCGUGUACUGGGGCCAGAACGGCAACGAGGGCGGCCUUGCCGACAC